GCUCAGGAUGAACGCUAGCGACAGGCCUAACACAUGCAAGUCGAACGGUAAAAUGGUAGCAAUACUAUUGAGAGUGGCGCACGGGUGAGUAACGCGUAUGCAACCUGCCUGUAACUGGGGGAUAGCUCCCUGAAAGGGGAAUUAACACCGCAUAAGACUACGGCAUCGCAUGGUGCAGUGGUUAAAUAUUUAUAGGUAACAGAUGGGCAUGCGUGGCAUUAGGUAGUUGGCGGGGUAACGGCCCACCAAGCCUGCGAUGCCUAGGGGUUCUGAGAGGAAGGCCCCCCACACUGGUACUGAGACACGGACCAGACUCCUACGGGAGGCAGCAGUGAGGAAUAUUGGUCAAUGGACGCAAGUCUGAACCAGCCAUGUCGCGUGCAGGACGACGGCCCUAUGGGUUGUAAACUGCUUUUGUAUGGGAAGAAAGUUAGCUACGUGUGGUUCUUCC
Molecule: ribosomal RNA, 451 nt
Filed under: uncultured bacterium
Lineage: Bacteria
Description: bacterial SSU rRNA
Rfam family: Bacterial small subunit ribosomal RNA
Source: RNAcentral